UUUAUUGAGAGUUUGAUCCUGGCUCAGGACGAACGCUGGCGGCGUGCUUAACACAUGCAAGUCGAGCGAUGAAGCUUCUUCGGAAGUGGAUUAGCGGCGGACGGGUGAGUAACACGUGGGUAACCUGCCUCAUAGAGGGGAAUAGCCUUCCGAAAGGAAGAUUAAUACCGCAUAAGAUUGUAAUAUCGCAUGAUAUAGCAAUUAAAGGAGCAAUCCGCUAUGAGAUGGACCCGCGUCGCAUUAGCUAGUUGGUGAGGUAACGGCUCACCAAGGCGACGAUGCGUAGCC
RNAcentral lists this ribosomal RNA (288 nucleotides) under Clostridium saccharobutylicum. RNAcentral's name for it is "partial 16S ribosomal RNA". It matches the Rfam family "Bacterial small subunit ribosomal RNA", at positions 1 to 288 of the family's 1533-position model. Lineage: Bacteria; Bacillati; Bacillota; Clostridia; Eubacteriales; Clostridiaceae. The record is from RNAcentral.